UAGGGAUUGUAAUAGAUCAACGAUGAAUGCAAAUUUGGGACCAGGACACAUCCUUAUGUAAUGGAGAUUUUAGGUAGCUCACAAAGAUUCCAAUACCACCAUCAAAACCUAAAUCACAUUAUUAAAAGAACUAAAAAAUGGAAACAAAAAAAUCACUCUCACUAUUAAAAAAAACAAACACCCACAAUUGAUCACAACAUCCACAAAUGAAUAAAACUACGAACACCCACCAUCCAACAAAAAACUACGAACAUCCAAAGUCCAUCAAGGAACCAC
This 276-nucleotide long non-coding RNA is filed under the name Vigna radiata. Its description in RNAcentral is "long non-coding RNA (VRAD_LNC004579)". Lineage: Eukaryota; Viridiplantae; Streptophyta; Magnoliopsida; Fabales; Fabaceae. The record is from RNAcentral.